AAGACCUUGCGCUUUUGGAGCGGCCGAUGUCUGAUUAGCUUGUUGGUAAGGUAAAAGCUUACCAAGGCUUCGAUCAGUAGCUGGUCUGAGAGGACGGCCAGCCACACUGGGACUGAGACACGGCCCAGACUCCUACGGGAGGCAGCAGUGGGGAAUUUUGGACAAUGGGGGCAACCCUGAUCCAGCCAUGCCGCGUGAGUGAAGAAGGCCUUCGGGCUGUAAAGCUCUUUCAGCCGGAACGAAACGGUUACGGUUAAUACCCGUGACUACUGACGGUACCGGAAGAAGAAGCACCGGCUAACUACGUGCCAGCAGCCGCGGUAAUACGUAGGGUGCAAGCGUUAAUCGGAAUUACUGGGCGUAAAGCGUGCGCAGGUGGUUUUGUAAGUCAGAUGUGAAAUCCCCGGGCUUAACCUGGGAAACU
RNAcentral lists this ribosomal RNA (424 nucleotides) under uncultured bacterium. Its description in RNAcentral is "bacterial SSU rRNA". It matches the Rfam family "Bacterial small subunit ribosomal RNA", at positions 207 to 623 of the family's 1533-position model. The record is from RNAcentral.